RNAcentral lists this ribosomal RNA (497 nucleotides) under uncultured bacterium. Its description in RNAcentral is "partial 16S ribosomal RNA". It matches the Rfam family "Bacterial small subunit ribosomal RNA", at positions 28 to 507 of the family's 1533-position model. The record is from RNAcentral.
GAUGAACGCUGGCGGCGUGCCUAAUACAUGCAAGUCGAGCGAACGGACGAGAAGCUUGCUUCUCUGAGGUUAGCGGCGGACGGGUGAGUAACACGUGGAUAACCUACCUAUAAGACUGGGAUAACUUCGGGAAACCGGAGCGAAUACCGGAUAAUAUUUUGAACCGCAUGGGUAAAAAGUGAAAUACGGUCUUGCUGUGACUUAUAGAUUGAUCCGCGCUGCAUUAGCUAAUUGGUAAGGUAACGGCUUACCAAGGCAAGGUUGCAUAGCCGCCCUGAGAGGGUGACCAGCCACACUGGAACUGAGACCCGCUCCAGACUACUACGGACAGCAGCAGUAGGGAAUCGUGCGCAAGGAGCGAAAGCCUGACGGAGCAACGCCGCGUGAGUGAUGAAGGUCUUCGGAUCGUAAAACUCUGUUAUUAGGGAAGAAAACAUGUGUAUGGGACUGUGUCGAUAUUGACGGUACCUAAUCAGAAAGCCCCGGCUAACUACGUG